Molecule: ribosomal RNA, 511 nt
Filed under: uncultured bacterium
Lineage: Bacteria
Description: bacterial SSU rRNA
Rfam family: Bacterial small subunit ribosomal RNA
Source: RNAcentral
ACUGAAUAGAUACCCCUGGUAGUCCUGGCCCUAAACGAUGUCUACUAGAUCGUGGCGGCACUGACGCCGUCAUGGUCGAAGCAAAAGUGUUAAGUAGACCGCCUGGGAAGUACGGUCGCAAGGCUAAAAACUCAAAGAAACUGACGGGGGCUCACACAAGCGGUGGAGCAUGUGGUUCAAUUCGAAGCAACGCGAAGAACCUUACCUGGGCUUGACAUGCUAGGAUUAUCUCCAUGAAAGUGGAGUACGCGGCGCAAGCCGUGGAACUAGUACAGGUGCUGCAUGGCGGUCGUCAGCUCGUGUCGUGAGAUUGUUCGGGUUUAAGUCCCUUAACGAGCGAAACCCUUUUGCCCUUAGUUGCCAUCAGGUUAUGCUGGGCACUCUAAGGGGGACUGCCGGUGUCAAACCGGAGGAAGGUGGAGAUGACGUCAAGUCCUCAUGGCCUUUAUGCCCAGGGCCACACACGUGCUACAACUGGCGUCCCACAAAGCGAACCGAGAGCGCAAGCUGG